AGGCGGGAGGCGGGCCGGAAAGUUUGUCGGGCGGCCGAGCCUGGGGCUCCGGCGGGGGAUGCGCGCCGGCCCGAGCGCCCCCAGCCCGCACGGGAGUCGUGCUCGCCAUGGGCCGUCCGCAACUGCUCCUGCCCCUGUGUGCCUCUGUGUCUUUGCUGGGUGGCCUGACCUUCGGUUAUGAACUGGCAGUCGUAUCAGGUGCCCUGCUGCCCCUGCAGCUUGACUUCGGGCUUUCCUGCUUGGAGCAGGAGCUCCUGGUGGGCAGCCUGCUCCUGGGGGCUCUCCUUGCCUCCCUGGUGGGGGGCGUCCUCAUCGACCAGUAUGGCAGAAAACAAGCCAUCCUCGGCAGCAAUGUGGUGCUUCUGGCAGGCAGCCUGAGCCUUAGCCUGGCUGGCUCCCUGGCCUGGCUUGUCCUGGGCCGCUUGGUGGCUGGCUUUGCCAUCUCCCUCUCCUCCAUGGCCUGCUGUAUUUAUGUGUCAGAGCUGGUGGGGCCCCGGCAGCGGGGAGUGCUGGUGUCCCUCUAUGAGGCCGGCAUCACCCUGGGCAUCCUGCUCUCCUAUGCACUCAACUACGCAUUAGCUGGUGCCCCCGGGGGAUGGCGGCAUAUGUUCGGCUGGGCCGCGGUACCUGCUCUUCUGCAGUCCCUCAGCCUCUUCUGUCUCCCUGCUGGGACCACUGAGGCGGCAGCCCGCAGGGACCUCAUUCCUCUCCAGGGAGGUGAGGCCACCAAGCUGGGGAGGCCAAGAUACUCCCUUCUGGACCUCUUUAGGGCCCGGGAUAACAUGCGAGGCCGGACCAUGGUGGGGCUAGGGCUGGUGAUUUUCCAGCAACUAACGGGGCAGCCCAACGUGCUGUGCUAUGCUUCUACCAUAUUCCACUCAGUCGGCUUCCGUGGGGGCUCCUCAGCUGUGCUGGCCUCUGUGGGACUCGGCGCCGUGAAGGUGGUGUCCACCCUGACGGCCCUGGGGCUGGUGGACCGAGCAGGCCGCAGGGCCCUGUUACUGGCUGGCUGUGCCCUCAUGGCCCUGUCGGUCAGCGGCAUCGGGCUCGUCAGCUUCGCCGCGCCCAUGGACUCCAGCCCAAGUUGCCUGGCCGUGCCCAACGCCAGCAGGCCGGCAGGCCUCCCUGGAGACUCGAGCCUGCCAGGGGCCGUCGUAAGUCCACCUCCACUGCCAGUGACCAGUGAGAACCAAGGGAAGCCAGUCCCCCCAACCUCUAUGAAAAUCAAGCCCCAUCCCAAAGCUGGGAACCGCACAGCUCCUCCCCUGCCGGCCUUAGGCACCGCCGCCCCUGCGCCCCCUUCUGCCCCCGAGCACGCCCUGCAGCACUGGACCGCGCUGGUCUGCAUGAUGGUCUUUGUGAGCGCCUUCUCCUUUGGAUUUGGACCAGUGACCUGGCUUGUCCUCAGCGAGAUCUAUCCCGUGGCGAUCCGAGGCAGAGCCUUCGCCUUCUGCAACAGCUUCAACUGGGCUAGCAACCUCCUUGUCAGCCUCUCCUUCCUCCACCUCAUCGGCACCAUCGGCUUGUCCUGGACCUUCCUGCUCUACGGGCUGACGGCUGUCCUCGGCCUGGGCUUCAUCUAUGCAUUUGUCCCUGAAACAAAAGGCCAGUCUUUGGCAGAGAUAGACCAGCAGUUCCAGAAGAGACGGAGCUGUUUUCCUGGAGUUGUUUGUGUCUUCCUACAGCAGAGUUUCAUUUAACUUUAAGGCCCAGCUCAUGGGAAUUUUAAAACCAUGCAGUUAUGGAAUCACAUGAGGUUCGCCCUGAGUUUUGGCCACAGGCAGAGCUCCACCAGCAUCCCGUACACCCGCAUCGAGGUCUCUGCCACCUCCUGAGGAGUCCAUCUGCCUGGAAGAUGCUGGAACCAUGGCUUUAGCAGACAGUCUCCAGCUUCCUGCUUGCCUGGCCCCUGCAGCACAAGGUCUCGGAGGUCCUGUAAGUCAUCCCUGCUCCAGGAGAGGUCUUUCGGGCCCGGGUGAAAGAGGAGAAAGUUUGAGAACCCAAAAGUCUUCAUUUUGAAUCUCAGGCUCUGAGGUGCCCUGAGGAUCUGCCUUCUUGCCUCAGUUUCCCCAUUGUCUCUGCACGGCCCUGCAGUACUUACAAUGACAACAUCUCAUGGAGUCUGUUGCUUCCUCAGAGAACAUCUCGGGUACCAGCCCUGGAAGGAAGUCUUCUCUGGCAUCACUCCCAAACCCAGAUGAGGAUACUAUAUUCUCUGCUCUCUUUUCCCAUCUGGCUGGGACUUUCUGGUGAGGGGAAGCCUGCUUUUGUCAUUCACCAGCAACUCAGACUGGUGGAGAAGAUGCUUGAGUUCCAGGCCUGCUCCUCUGGUGUCGUGGCGGUAUGGCCAUAGGCCUCAGUUUUCCCCAUAUGUACAAUGGGCGACCUGGACCAAGGAGUUCUUAAGAUCACUUCCGAUAUCAAUGAGCUAGAAUUCUAAGUGCUGCUAAUACAGUGCAUAUUCAGCAUGGGCCCUGCUCUCAAGUAGCUGGCCAUCUCUUUGGGGAAUGCCAGUUUUAAUUAGGGGAACAGUAAAUAGAAUUCCAGAAUCGUGGGGAAUAAAAUCCAAGAGCUGCCACGGUGCAUGAAGCCAGCUCCAGGCGCUGUUUCCAGGGUGGUGCAGGAGAGCUUUGCAGAACGGAGGUGGGUUUGGAGGCCGACAAGCCCAGCUGUUGGUGUUGCCUGUCUCCUGGCCGCUGUUGACCUUGUCAACAACCUGUGACUAACAGCUUUCCCUAGCCUCAGUUCCCACACCUGCAGAAUGGGAAUGAUUAGGCACCUGGGGGUGUGCUUAACCCCUGUCUUCCUGCAGGAGGGUCUUCAGCUGGUCCCAUUCAGCUAGUCAGGGCCUGAGGGGGCGGUUUCUGCUCACCCUCAGUUACCCAGGUCCCCAUCUUUGGGACAUUGUUAAGGGUCAGCCCCCGACGGGUGAGUCAGAUGGAGACUGAGCAAGGAGCUCAGGCCAGAAGUCACCAGAGGAAGGGCCUGGCAAGAGUGAGUUGCUGGAUGCUGAGGAAAAUGAAGGGCUAAAGCAGACCCAGGGAGCUGGUGUGGGACAACACGUCGUCAUCUGUGCCUGCUGCAUGCCCACAGGACUCUGGCCUCUCAUCUUCUCUCCUCCCGUUCUAGAUGCUUCCCUUGUACCCAGUGGUGUGCGGGAGGUCCCUCCUACUACCUUGUGAGAGCCCAUUGUUAAGUUUUCGGGACUUUUGCCAACUGGUUGUUAAACACAGCCUUUUAAAGAUAUUAAAUUAUUGAAUAUUUCAAUAAAUUAUAUUAAAAGCAAAAGUAAUAAAUACUAAA
Molecule: RNA transcript, 3303 nt
Organism: Zalophus californianus (California sea lion)
Lineage: Eukaryota; Metazoa; Chordata; Mammalia; Carnivora; Otariidae
Gene: SLC2A10
Gene name: solute carrier family 2 member 10
Exons: 6
Source: RefSeq, a predicted model, not a curated record